UACACCGCUGGACGUUGAAAAACGUAUAUGCCGCCAUAACUGGUAUGGCUAGUGGAAAUUAACUUGAUGCAGGACAGACAGUAAAGCGGUCGCACCUGCUGUCUGUAAAGGAUAGAA
Molecule: non-coding RNA, 117 nt
Filed under: unclassified sequences
Description: RT-4 RNA
Rfam family: RT-4 RNA
Source: Rfam by way of RNAcentral